UUUCUCCCCGCCGCAUUCCCGGUGUCGACUUACUAGCUGCAAGCCUCUGCCUGCCUUCCUGCGCGCCGUUCCCCGCUAGUCGCUGCUGCUGGCGCGCACUCGCCGGGUUUUUCCUCCCACGGCCUCGAGAUGGUGGUGAAUGUGGCACGGAGGAGCCGGGCCUUCCAACCCGGUGGGCCCGAGCUCCGAAAGGCCCCCUCGGCAGUGAGAGGGGCGGGAGCCCGCGGGGGCCGCGCCCUUCUCUCGCUUCGGACUGCGCAACGCUGCGCUCUGGGCUGACAGAUUCAUGUUACAUGUAAAGCUGUCCUCAUUUGUGACUAUGGACCUAUGGAGUUGGGACAAUCUCUAUGGGAAGCAGAAGGCAAGGACCCCGGUCAUUUUAGGUAGAAACAACAGCAUGCUAAUGCAAAAAAUUAUGCAGUGUGCUACUGAACUUCAGAGGUGAUCAAUAAAAGAAGAAUAAAAAGACUAAUAAAAGUA
RNAcentral lists this long non-coding RNA (480 nucleotides) under Homo sapiens (human). The record is from RNAcentral. Lineage: Eukaryota; Metazoa; Chordata; Mammalia; Primates; Hominidae.